RNAcentral lists this ribosomal RNA (465 nucleotides) under Vreelandella stevensii. RNAcentral describes it as "partial 16S ribosomal RNA". It matches the Rfam family "Bacterial small subunit ribosomal RNA", at positions 338 to 795 of the family's 1533-position model. Lineage: Bacteria; Pseudomonadati; Pseudomonadota; Gammaproteobacteria; Oceanospirillales; Halomonadaceae. The record is from RNAcentral.
CCUACGGGGGGCUGCAGUGGGGAAUAUUGGACAAUGGGGGCAACCCUGAUCCAGCCAUGCCGCGUGUGUGAAGAAGGCCCUCGGGUUGUAAAGCACUUUCAGUGAGGAAGAACGCCUGGUGGUUAAUACCCAUCAGGAAAGACAUCACUCACAGAAGAAGCACCGGCUAACUCCGUGCCAGCAGCCGCGGUAAUACGGAGGGUGCGAGCGUUAAUCGCAAUUACUGGGCGUAAAGCGCGCGUAGGUGGCUUGAUAAGCCGGUUGUGAAAGCCCCGGGCUCAACCUGGGAACGGCAUCCGGAACUGUCAAGCUAGAGUGCAGGAGAGGAAGGUAGAAUUCCCGGUGUAGCGGUGAAAUGCGUAGAGAUCGGGAGGAAUACCAGUGGCGAAGGCGGCCUUCUGGACUGACACUGACACUGAGGUGCGAAAGCGUGGGUAGCAAACAGGAUUAGAUACCCCGGUAGUC